Molecule: ribosomal RNA, 443 nt
Filed under: uncultured bacterium
Lineage: Bacteria
Description: bacterial SSU rRNA
Rfam family: Bacterial small subunit ribosomal RNA
Source: RNAcentral
CGGUCGGACCGGACCGGCGCGACGGGUGAGUAACGCGUACUACCUAACCCUUCCCUUAGUAGGGCAUAGCCCGGUGAAAAUCGGAUUAAUACCCUAUGUUGUGUCAUGAGGACAUCUGAAUAACACUAAAGAUUUAUCGCUAAGGGAUGGGGAUGCGUCCGAUUAGGUAGUCGGCGGGGUAACGGCCCACCGAGCCCUCGAUCGGUAGGGGUUCUGAGAGGAAGGUCCCCCACACUGGUACUGAGACACGGACCAGACUCCUACGGGAGGCAGCAGUGAGGAAUAUUGGUCAAUGGGCGAGAGCCUGAACCAGCCAAGUAAGCGUGCAGGAUGACGGCCCUAUGGGUUGUAAACUGCUUUUAUACGGGGAUAAAGUGAGGGACGUGUCCCUUAUUGUAGGUACCGUAUGAAUAAGGACCGGCUAAUUCCGUGCCAGCCGCCGC